GCUAGAAGUGGCGAAAUUAAGCAGGUUUUCAAGUGCUUAAAUGGCUUGCCAUCACUUGAACCCACCGUAGAAAUACGUGCCGGUUCGAGUCCGGCCUUCGGCACCA
RNAcentral lists this transfer RNA (106 nucleotides) under Klebsiella aerogenes. RNAcentral's name for it is "tRNA-OTHER". Lineage: Bacteria; Pseudomonadati; Pseudomonadota; Gammaproteobacteria; Enterobacterales; Enterobacteriaceae. The record is from RNAcentral.